AGCGGAUGGGUGAAAUGGAUAUAUCACGCGGUCCUCAUAAGUCCGAGAUAGCGGGUUCGACUCCCGUGUCCGCUCCCA
This 78-nucleotide transfer RNA is filed under the name Caudoviricetes sp. RNAcentral describes it as "tRNA-Met". It matches the Rfam family "tRNA". From Rfam's summary of the family: Transfer RNA (tRNA) molecules are approximately 80 nucleotides in length. Their secondary structure includes four short double-helical elements and three loops (D, anti-codon, and T loops). Lineage: Duplodnaviria; Heunggongvirae; Uroviricota; Caudoviricetes. The record is from RNAcentral.